RNAcentral lists this long non-coding RNA (3711 nucleotides) under Chinchilla lanigera (long-tailed chinchilla). Its description in RNAcentral is "lncRNA (ENSCLAG00000027206.1)". Lineage: Eukaryota; Metazoa; Chordata; Mammalia; Rodentia; Chinchillidae. The record is from RNAcentral.
AUGCGCAGCUGCCAGGCCAGCUCGAAGAAGGCGAGCAGGGUACGGGAGAGCCCCUUGCAAAAGACCCCGUAUGAAGAGGGGGCCGCUGCUGGGCUUGAGGCCCGGAUGGCCAAGGAGGAGGGAGGCGCCGCAGACCUCUGCCACAGCCAGCACCCGAGGGUAAAGCGGCCGCCGAGCGCACACCUGCGCGUCCUGCAGUCCCCGCUCGCUGCGACGGCGCUCGCUGCUACGGCGCUCCGCCCCUUCCUGUCAGCUUGCAGUGGUAUUCAGAGUUAACCAGUGGAAGAGCGGCCACCGGCGUGUUAUAUAACGUAGGCCAACGAUGUUUCAUGAGACAUCAUCUACUAUUGAUCUUCCAUUAAAAAUUGAAAAAAAUUGAUGUUUGUAAACCAUGUGUAUGGAAGAGUGUGAUGUAUAUGUAUAUAUUCAUGCAUGUAUUAUGGGAAAUAAUUUGAGAAUUCCUCUAGAGGUAGGGGAGAAAUUGCUUCUACUCUAACAAGGAGGAUAAACUACUGGGCCACAAAGUCGUUUACUUUGAACUCAGAGCUGAGAUUGCAAGGUAAGCAGGUAAACCGAAUUACAAAAGAUGAUGAGCCCUUCCAGCUAAAGUUGUUUCAUCUUGGUAGGACUGAGAGAGAAGUAUCUACCAUAAACGUAUGUCAGAAAAAAAUGGGUCCAACUUUAACCAAUUAUUAUAUUGUUUAAUAGUAGGUUAUAAAUUCAGUUUAGGAUCCGUGGAAUCCCCAGGUACAGUGUGAUUUGUAAUCGCUGCCACUUUUCUCUGGGCUGCUGUUAAGGGUUUGCAAGAAGGACUGGAGACAGGUCAGGAGAUCCAGGAAAGAUUCUUAUACAUGGCAUGGUAGGCAGAAUAAUGACCCUCAAAAUCUGUUUAUAUUUUAAUCCUGGGACCUCACUUGGUGUGAGAACUUCGCACAUGUGAUCAAGGAUAUGCACCUGGAUUAUUUAGGAAGCUCUAAUUAAAGGCUUCCUUAAAUGUAGAGCCUUUGUCUUAGCUAGAGAGAGGAAAGAAGGGAGAGGAGAGGAGAAAAGCCAAAAGAAGUAGAUUAUAAAUGUUUUCUAGUAGCUGGAAAUAGCAAGGAAAUUGAUUUUCUCUUAUGGCCUCCAGAUAGCAGUGCAACCCUGCUGACAACUUGAAUUUUAGCUGAGUCCUGUGUUAGAAUUCUGAUGUAUAAAACUGUAAAAUUGUGGUGUUUAAGUUACUGAAUUUGUGAUAAUUUAUUAUAGCAGCAGCAGAAUCUAAAGUACAUGGGAAUGUGGUCCACUUAAGUUUGAACUAAGCACUAGAGAAGGGGAUGGGGAUAUACCUCAGUGGCACAGUGACUGCCUGGCAAGCACAAGGUACCAAAAAAAAAAAAAAAUACUAGAGAAGGCUGCCUGCAUUUUAGACCCCAUAGAAUUGAAAGGUGGUCAUUGGCUACUGUUGGGGGGCAAGCAAGAGAACAGCUUAUGUACUGAGUGCUUCAAUAAGCAAGAUCUGCCACUGCCGACUGAGGAGCACUAUCCACUGUAAUUUGGACCCUACUGAUAACAAGCAAAAAGCUCUGGAACCAAAUCGAGUAAGAAACUUCCUCUGGACCUGCAAUGACAUAUGUUGGAGGUCUGCUGCUACAGAUGGACAGAAAAUUUUCUCUGGGUCCCAUAUGGACACGAGGCAGAAGCCACCUGCCACUGAGAAAAGGCAAACAACUAUCUAUAAUGGAUUGUUCAUGAAUACCAGGCAAAGGCCAUUUGCUGCUAGAAGGGGACCGGUUAAUCUCAUGAUAGACUUUGCACUGAUAAGAGACAUUGAUUGGUACUCAGGGAGGCCAGGAAGGGUGCCUGCCGCAGAUUCCUGUACGGACACGAGGUAAAAGCCAUGUGUUGCCACUGGGGUGGGAGGAGGAAAGCCACUUUUAACCAGGAUGCUACAUGGAUUGGUAGUAGUUUGUUACUGUGGGAGUGAUGGGAACACUAAGAAACCCCACAUUUGAGUGAAAAAUACAUAGCUGGUGAUAAAGGCAAUUGCUGGGGGAGAAGAAAAACACCCCACUGCUCCACCAUGAAACUGCACUGAGGAACAGGAAUGUGGAAAGUGGGUCUUUUUUGUAGUGUGUGGAUGAACUCCCGAAGCUGAACAUGAGUCCCAAAAUCUCCUUUGCACUUCAGCCCUUAUAAGGAAUACAAGGUCGUAGCAUUCUAUUGUUGUAGUACUUUGAAUCCAAAUGCAGAUAACACACGGAAUCACCUAAGUUUCACAUAGGAAUGGCCUGACAGAAUAGAAAUCAUGUCCAUUUCUGCAUGGUAAUAUUUACUUCAGAAUUUAUUGUACAUAUGCAAACAAACAUGCCAACCACCUGCCACCGGUAAGGGAAAACAAUGGCUAAGAGGUUGGAAUUAUCAGUCUUUUAUCAAGACUAAGCAGGUCCUGGCAGUGAAUGCCUGUAAUUCCAGCAUGUGGGGAGGCUGAGGCAGGAGGCUCAGUUUAGAGUCCAGCCUUAGUAAUUUAGAGAGUCUCUAUUUCAAAGAAAAACUAAAAAGGGCUGGGGUUGUAGCAUAGUGUGAAGGCCCUGGGUUCAAUUUCUCAUGUGUGUAUACGCAUGUGUACACACACACACACACACACUCACACGUGCACACAGUCACGAUUAUUGCUAAAAAAGGUGAGAAAUUUUGGAAAGAUGGUUAUACGAAGAAUUCACAUGAAAACACUGGACAAGAAAAAUUUGAUGUUGGAGAUGAGUGACUCAUUUGCUAGCUUAUUAAUAGUUUGAGCACAGUACAGACAAUCAGUGAUCAGUGAAGGUAAGUUAAUAGAAGAUACCUGAGCUGAAAACAAGAAAAUUGAAAGAAAAGGGAGAGAUGGGGAAGGCACAUUGGAAACACUGAGAGUACUCAUUGUCUUCAUGCAUUACAGGUGGGGAUAACACUGGCCUAGGCUCUUUGGAUAGCAGUUCUAUUGUUUUAAAACAAAAGUUAAAUGUACUGCUAAGCCUAGCAGUACCCCAACUUUGAAACUUGGGGAUGGCAGAGAGCAUCUAAAAAUAUUAAAUGUAUACAUUGUGUAUAGAUGCUUAGUUUUGAAUUUGCUUCAUUACACCUUGUGAUGACUUUUUGAUACCUAUUUGUUUUCUGUUUUUUUUUUUUUUAGUACUGAGAAUCAAACUGAGGACCUUACCAGGCAGGCACUGUGCUGCUGAGCUAUAUACCCUGCUUGAUACAUUUUAAGCCUAAUUCCAACCUCUUAGCCAUUCCUUUCUCUUACCAGUGGCUGGUGGUUGGCACGUUUAUUUACAUAGGUACAAUAAAUUCUGAAGUAAAUAUUAUCAUGCUCUUAACCAGAAGAGCUUCUUUUAAAAAUUUCUAGUGAGUUUAUAAUGGUACUUCCAAUUCAAAUUUUAAUGUCUAUUUCUUUUUUUCUCAUGCUGAAAAGUUUGGCCUCUAAGAGUACAUUUACAUAUUUUUGUGUACAUCUCUGUGUAUAGCACUUUUAAAUUAAUAAUACUUGGGUUACUUUCUAGCAAUAUUUGACAACAGCUUUAAGAUUUCUACUAAGGUAUAUCCUAAUGAGGAAAAAUUAUGUCUUAAGAUCGUUUGAACCAAGUUUACUUUUUAGUUAAACUAUCCAUCACAUAAGUGCCUUUUUUGAUUUUGAUUUUUGCAGAUUAGUAUUUCAUUUUGUAAUUUUGUUUAUGACUGUUUAAUGAAUUUUCU